This 435-nucleotide ribosomal RNA is filed under the name uncultured bacterium. RNAcentral's name for it is "partial 16S ribosomal RNA". It matches the Rfam family "Bacterial small subunit ribosomal RNA", at positions 29 to 507 of the family's 1533-position model. The record is from RNAcentral.
AGCGAACGCUGGCGGCAGGCUUAACACAUGCAAGUCGAGCGGGCACUUUCGGGUGUCAGCGGCGGACGGGUGAGUAACGCGUGGGAACGUGCCCUCUGGUUCGGAAUAACUCAGGGAAACUUGAGCUAAUACCGGAUACGCCCUUUUGGGGAAAGGCUUGCUGCCGGAGGAUCGGCCCGCGUCUGAUUAGCUAGUUGGUGAGGUAACGGCUCGCCAAGGCGACGAUCAGUAGCUGGUCUGAGAGGAUGAUCAGCCACACUGGGACUGAGACACGGCCCAGACUCCUACGGGAGGCAGCAGUGGGGAAUAUUGGACAAUGGGCGCAAGCCUGAUCCAGCCAUGCCGCGUGAGUGAUGAAGGCCUUAGGGUUGUAAAGCUCUUUUAUCCGGGACGAUAAUGACGGUACCGGAGGAAUAAGCCCCGGCUAACUUCGUG